Molecule: ribosomal RNA, 283 nt
Filed under: uncultured Staphylococcus sp.
Lineage: Bacteria; Bacillati; Bacillota; Bacilli; Caryophanales; Staphylococcaceae
Description: partial 16S ribosomal RNA
Rfam family: Bacterial small subunit ribosomal RNA
Source: RNAcentral
UAGGGAAUCUUCCGCAAUGGGCGAAAGCCUGACGGAGCAACGCCGCGUGAGUGAUGAAGGUCUUCGGAUCGUAAAACUCUGUUAUUAGGGAAGAACAAAUGUGUAAGUAACUGUGCACGUCUUGACGGUACCUAAUCAGAAAGCCACGGCUAACUACGUGCCAGCAGCCGCGGUAAUACGUAGGUGGCAAGCGUUAUCCGGAAUUAUUGGGCGUAAAGCGCGCGUAGGCGGUUUCUUAAGUCUGAUGUGAAAGCCCACGGCUCAACCGUGGAGGGUCAUUGGA